Molecule: transfer RNA, 77 nt
Filed under: Chloroflexota bacterium
Lineage: Bacteria; Bacillati; Chloroflexota
Also listed under: 1 other name
Description: Chloroflexi bacterium (permafrost metagenome) tRNA-Arg
Rfam family: tRNA
About the family: Transfer RNA (tRNA) molecules are approximately 80 nucleotides in length. Their secondary structure includes four short double-helical elements and three loops (D, anti-codon, and T loops). Further hydrogen bonds mediate the characteristic L-shaped molecular structure. tRNAs have two regions of fundamental functional importance: the anti-codon, which is responsible for specific mRNA codon recognition, and the 3' end, to which the tRNAs corresponding amino acid is attached (by aminoacyl-tRNA synthetases). tRNAs cope with the degeneracy of the genetic code in two manners: having more than one tRNA (with a specific anti-codon) for a particular amino acid; and 'wobble' base-pairing, i.e. permitting non-standard base-pairing at the 3rd anti-codon position.
Source: RNAcentral
GCCCCUUUAGCUCAGUGGAUUAGAGCGUUUGGUUGCGGACCAACAGGCCGUGCGUUCGAAUCGCACAAGGGGCACCA